Long non-coding RNA from Heterocephalus glaber (naked mole-rat), 2636 nucleotides. The record is from Ensembl. Lineage: Eukaryota; Metazoa; Chordata; Mammalia; Rodentia; Bathyergidae.
CUGCCUUCCAUUUUGAGCCUAACCACUAAUAAAAGAUGCCUGCAGAUCCUGAUAGUGACGAUAACCUCUAAUCCUGCUCUUUCUAGCCGAAGGAAAAUUAUAAGGUGGAAUGAAAAAGAGAUGAAAACUCCCAGCAAAAUGAUGACAUGUCAGUCCUUUUUAAACAUGUUUGGAAGACUCUUUACAAUGGCCCCUGUUGAUUUUUAAACACCCAAAAUGUGCAAAUCAUUGCAUUAUUUUUCAUCAUGCCAGAAAGUGUUUGAAUUUUUAUUUUUGUGGGGCCGGAACAGAUGAAUUCCUAGAAAAGAAGCUGGCACCGUGCCAUCUCUCAGAAGUUGAUGUGGGUGAGGAUCCAUGAGGUGACUAGUAAGGUAUAUUGUGUUACCAUUUACAAAUAACUUUGUCAUCCACCAUCCCACCAUUAUCCUAUAAGAGAAAGAGUCAGGGUCACAUCAAUGAGAAUGAUCCAGAGAAACAGUGUCAAGUCCCUGUUGCACAGUUAAGCUGAAGCAGUCAACAAGCAGAUAACCAAGAGGUCAGAAUCCAAAAAUAUUGAACACAGGUUAGAAGAAAGGAAUAAAAUGGUCUAAAGCAAGCAGGUCAAAGACACAAACACCAUUUCCACAAGGACAGAGAUGUAUCUUUUGUUUCCUUAUUUUACUCCAUACCAAGAAAGUCCUCCAAUAUUCACUGAAUGAAUGAGUGAAUGAAUGCAUCAUCAUGGUGUGCAGUUAUUUUUAUGGUGCCAACUGUAUGGCAUUGGAAGCCUGGGAAGUACACUGGCCUCAAAGUGCAAAGGAUUUAAAGAGCUAGACACUAAUCCCCCAGGGAUCAAGGCUGCAUAUCCUCCCUGCUGGACACUGAACUGCUGCCCUCCCCUCCAGUCUCCAUGGUUUGGUUUUCUUCCUGCCCUUUGAGGCCCUGCAUUGCUAUUCUCAUGCUGCAGUGUAAUCUUCCAGUUCUCCGACUUCCUGGCUGAAUGUGAUGCAGUAUAAGGUGCACAAUAACAGCUCGGGAGUGACACUACAUGAUCCUGCCCUAAGGAUUCUCCCACAGAGGUGAGUGGAUGAAGAACGAGAAUGGGUAGUUUGGGCCUUAUUUUUUUUCCUGGGAAGUAGGGGAAUAAUUUCACCAAAAGUCGAUAAGUUCAGAACUAAUAGGGAAAUAACUGUAAUUAUCUCUAGACUAACCAGCAUGGCAAGAGCACUUAAAACUGAAUUUAACAAUAAUAAAAAUAUAAUGGCUGACGUGAAGAAAGGGAGUAGGAGAAUUAGUUGAUAAGGUGUGGGGUCAUGUGCCUACCACAAAAGCUAACAUGGCCCCGGUGGCCAAUGGUGGACCUGAACCUAGAUCAGGGGAACAUCAGCCUUGCUCACCUCUGACCACAUCCUGUGUGCUGACUGCUCUCAGCUCUGGAUUCCACUCUCCCACGAAAGAGCAAAAACCCAGGUGUGCCCAGUUGAGAGUACUGCGAAGGUAAGAAGACUUAAAUCCAUAGCAAAAAAAGUACAAAAAAUCAAAGAAAUUGUUUAUCCCGGAGAUGGCUUAUAAAGGCCUAUGAGCUACUGUCAAUAUCAAAAGAGAUAUCGGACUAGAAACUGGGGCUAAGGAGGCUAAGUUUCUUAAUCAAAAUCACAGUGAAUUGAUGGUAGACCUGGGAGCCAAACUCAAGUCUAUAACUCUAAAUCCCAACUUAAGCAUAAAAUCAUUGUGCUUAAAUUUGCUGGGCCUUGAUGUGCUGGGAAAAAAAAACCCUAUGGGUCUCUCAUCUCCAUUACACAAGGACAAAGCUACAUCACUGCAGCCAGGGGUUCUUUGAAGGAAAGUGAAGGAAACGGUCUGAAUGUCCUUAACAAAUGAGUCCCAAACUUUCUCAGAAGAUGAGAGCUGACAUCUAUAUACAGAGAUAGUUUCUGUAUCCAUGCUAUCCUGAGCAUACAAUAAUGGAGACGGCAUCUUAGUCACAUUUAUCAAAGCUGUUUAGGGUAAUGGCUGAAAUUCUGCAUUCGUUCAACAAACUUGAUUUGUAUACCUGCUCAAGUUAAGCCCCAUGCUAAGUACUGGGUACAUGGCAGUUAAUAAAAUGGCAGUCUCAUGAAAGAUACAUCUAUCCAUAAAUCAUAAACAAAUUAUAUGUUACUAUAAACUGUGAUAAUUAUAAAUCUAAUUUCAGAACAUCUUCAGCAUAAGAAAGUAACAGUUAGAUGGGGCUUAUUAAAUAAUGUGAGCAUGAUUCUCUCUGGGAAAUGCUGUGUGUUAGAAAAAGGUCUGUCCUGCAGAUGAGAAAACAGAGACCGGAGAGGAUACACAACAGAAGUCAGAUCCAGCUGAUCUGCUUUGGUUCUUCCACCAGGCUACCCUGCCACCUUGUACAGCCUGCCACUUAAUGCCAGAAGAAAUGAGAGACGAGCACAGCUCACUGGAGUGUCAGACACUAAAUGUGAAUCAUCUACUCCUUGGAUGUAAAGGAGGCCAAAAGACCAAGAGAACAUAUUAUUAAAGAUUAAGUUCAAAAGCCAUCGGUCAAGGUGUGAAACAGAGAGGCUAAGAAUAGACUUGUGGCUGCCAAUGGACGGAAGACCAUAUUUGGCCUCUAAACAAACACAAUAGAAUAUUACUCUGAAGAAUUGACUUAG